This 253-nucleotide ribosomal RNA is filed under the name uncultured bacterium. RNAcentral's name for it is "partial 16S ribosomal RNA". It matches the Rfam family "Bacterial small subunit ribosomal RNA", at positions 524 to 776 of the family's 1533-position model. The record is from RNAcentral.
UACGAAGGGUGCAAACGUUGCUCGGAAUUAUUGGGCGUAAAGAGCGUGUAGGCGGUCAGGUAGGUCCGUUGUGAAAACUCGAGGCUCAACCUCGAGACGUCGGUUGAAACCGCUUGGCUAGAGUCCGGAAGAGGAGAGUGGAAUUCCCGGUGUAGCGGUGAAAUGCGCAGAUAUCGGGAAGAACACCCGUGGCGAAGGCGGCUCUCUGGGACGGUACUGACGCUGAGACGCGAAAGCGUGGGGAGCGAACAGG